GGAUGUGAGGGUGAUCUGGCUGCAACAUCUGUCACCCCAUUGAUCUCCAGGGUUGAUUCGGCUGAUCUGGCUGGUGAGGUGGAUGUCCCCUUCCUCUCUCACCUCUCCAUGUGCUUCCCUCAGGAAGCUGAGUGCUAGGUGGAAGAGGAUGGCCUUCCCCUGAAUAGAGACGGACUGGUCUUCAGUGGAGGGUAUAGGAGUAACGGAGCUCCCUUGCUAGAACUCCGAAACAAGCUCUCAACUUGCAUACCUGAAGGCCCAGAGUUGAAUGUUGGCUCUGGUCUCUGCCUCUCAAAAGUUAAUAAGUAAAUCUGA
Molecule: small nuclear RNA, 315 nt
Filed under: Erinaceus europaeus (western European hedgehog)
Lineage: Eukaryota; Metazoa; Chordata; Mammalia; Eulipotyphla; Erinaceidae
Description: 7SK RNA
Rfam family: 7SK RNA
About the family: 7SK was discovered as an abundant small nuclear RNA in the mid-70s but a possible function has only recently been suggested. Two independent studies have found that 7SK RNA binds the CDK9/cyclin T complex (known as elongation factor P-TEFb).
Source: Rfam by way of RNAcentral